AGUUUGAUCCUGGCUCAGGAUGAACGCUAGCGGCAGGCUUAAUACAUGCGAGUCGAGGGGCAGCAAGGGUAGCAAUACCUGUUGGCGACCGGCAAACGGGUGCGGAACACGUACGCAACCUUCCUUUAAGUGGGGGAUAGCCCAGGGAAACUUGGAUUAAUACCCCUUAACAUUAUGAGAUGGCAUCAUUUUAUAAUUAAAGCUCCGGCGCUUAGAGAUGGCGUGCGCCUGAUUAGGUAGUUGGCGGGGUAACAGCCCACCAAGCCUACGAUCAGUAACUGGUGUGAGGGCACGACCAGUCACACGGGCACUGAGACACGGGCCCGACUCCUACGGGAGGCAGCAGUAAGGAAUAUUGGUCAAUGGACGCAAGUCUGAACCAGCCAUGCCGCGUGGAGGAUGACGGCCCUCUGGGGUUGUAAACUCCUUUUAUCUGGGAAGAAAUGCAGAUUUUCUAAUCUGUUUGACGGUACCAGAGGAAUAAGCACCGGCUAACUCCGUGCCAGCAGCCGCGGUAAAUACCGGAGGGGGGCAAGCGUUAUCCGGAUUCACUGGGUUUAAAGGUGCCUAAGGGGGAAUGGGUAAAGUUCAUGGGGUGAAAUCCUCCAAGCUUAACUUGGAAACUG
RNAcentral lists this ribosomal RNA (626 nucleotides) under uncultured bacterium. RNAcentral's name for it is "bacterial SSU rRNA". It matches the Rfam family "Bacterial small subunit ribosomal RNA", at positions 10 to 623 of the family's 1533-position model. The record is from RNAcentral.